RNAcentral lists this ribosomal RNA (751 nucleotides) under Romboutsia lituseburensis. RNAcentral's name for it is "bacterial SSU rRNA". It matches the Rfam family "Bacterial small subunit ribosomal RNA", at positions 122 to 893 of the family's 1533-position model. The record is from RNAcentral. Lineage: Bacteria; Bacillati; Bacillota; Clostridia; Peptostreptococcales; Peptostreptococcaceae.
AAUCCUUGCCCUUGUACACACGGAUAACAUACCGAAAGUAUGCUAAUACGGGAUAACAUACUUUUAUCGCAUGGUAGAAGUAUCAAAGCUCCGGCGGUACAGGAUGGACCCGCGUCUGAUUAGCUAGUUGGUAAGGUAACGGCUUACCAAGGCGACGAUCAGUAUCCGACCUGAUAGGGUGAUCGGCCACAUUGGAACUGAGACACGGUCCAAACUCCUACGGGAGGCAGCAGUGGGGAAUAUUGCACAAUGGGCGAAAGCCUGAUGCAGCAACGCCGCGUGAGCGAUGAAGGCCUUCGGGUCGUAAAGCUCUGUCCUCAAGGAAGAUAAUGACGGUACUUGAGGAGGAAGCCCCGGCUAACUACGUGCCAGCAGCCGCGGUAAUACGUAGGGGGCUAGCGUUAUCCGGAAUUACUGGGCGUAAAGGGUGCGUAGGUGGUUUCUUAAGUCAGAAGUGAAAGGCUACGGCUCAACCGUAGUAAGCUUUUGAAACUAAGAGACUUGAGUGCAGGAGAGGAGAGUAGAAUUCCUAGUGUAGCGGUGAAAUGCGUAGAUAUUAGGAGGAAUACCAGUUGCGAAGGCGGCUCUCUGGACUGUAACUGACACUGAGGCACGAAAGCGUGGGGAGCAAACAGGAUUAGAUACCCUGGUAGUCCACGCCGUAAACGAUGAGUACUAGCUGUCGGGGGUUACCCCCCUCGGUGGCGCAGCUAACGCAUUAAGUACUCCGCCUGGGAAGUACGCUCGCAGA